This 441-nucleotide ribosomal RNA is filed under the name uncultured bacterium. Its description in RNAcentral is "partial 16S ribosomal RNA". It matches the Rfam family "Bacterial small subunit ribosomal RNA", at positions 338 to 795 of the family's 1533-position model. The record is from RNAcentral.
CCUACGGGAGGCAGCAGUGGGGGAUAUUGCACAAUGGGGGGAACCCUGAUGCAGCGACGCCGCGUGGGUGAAGGAGCGUUUCGGCGCGUAAAGCCCUAUCGGCAGGGAAGAAGGAGGACGGUACCUGACUAAGAAGCCCCGGCUAACUACGUGCCAGCAGCCGCGGUAAUACGUAGGGGGCAAGCGUUAUCCGGAUUUACUGGGUGGAAAGGGGGCGCAGACGGCAGCGCAAGCCAGGAGUGAAAGCCCGGGGCCCAACCCCGGGACUGCACUUGGAACUGCGCGGCUGGAGUGCAGGAGAGGUAAGUGGAAUUCCUAGUGUAGCGGUGAAAUGCGUAGAUAUUAGGAGGAACACCAGUGGCGAAGGCGGCUUACUGGACUGUAACUGACGUUGAGGCUCGAAAGCGUGGGGAGCAAACAGGAUUAGAUACCCCUGUAGUC